UACGUAGGGUGCAAGCGUUAAUCGGAAUUACUGGGCGUAAAGCGUGCGCAGGCGGUUUUGUAAGUCUGACGUGAAAUCCCCGGGCUCAACCUGGGAAUUGCGUUGGAGACUGCAAGGCUAGAAUCUGGCAGAGGGGGGUAGAAUUCCACGUGUAGCAGUGAAAUGCGUAAAGAUGUGGAGGAACACCGAUGGCAAAGGCAGCCCCCUGGGUCAAGAUUAACGCUCAUGCACGAAAGCGUGGGGAGAAAACAGG
This 253-nucleotide ribosomal RNA is filed under the name uncultured bacterium. RNAcentral describes it as "partial 16S ribosomal RNA". It matches the Rfam family "Bacterial small subunit ribosomal RNA", at positions 524 to 776 of the family's 1533-position model. The record is from RNAcentral.